AGUGAACGCUGGCGGUAGGCCUAACACAUGCAAGUCGAACGGCAGCACAGUAAGAGCUUGCUCUUACGGGUGGCGAGUGGCGGACGGGUGAGGAAUACAUCGGAAUCUACUUUUUCGUGGGGGAUAACGUAGGGAAACUUACGCUAAUACCGCAUACGACCUACGGGUGAAAGCAGGGGAUCUUCGGACCUUGCGCGAUUGAAUGAGCCGAUGUCGGAUUAGCUAGUUGGCGGGGUAAAGGCCCACCAAGGCGACGAUCCGUAGCUGGUCUGAGAGGAUGAUCGGCCACACUGGAACUGAGACACGGUCCAGACUCCUACGGGAGGCAGCAGUGGGGAAUAUUGGGCAAUGGGCGAGAGCCUAAUCCAGCCAUACCGCGUGGGUGAAGAAGGCGUUCGGGUUGUAAAGCCCUUUUGUUGGGAAAGAAAAGCAGCAGGUUUAUACCCCGCUGUUCUGACGGUACCCAAAGAAUAAGCACCGGCUAACUUCGUG
This 492-nucleotide ribosomal RNA is filed under the name uncultured bacterium. RNAcentral's name for it is "partial 16S ribosomal RNA". It matches the Rfam family "Bacterial small subunit ribosomal RNA", at positions 29 to 507 of the family's 1533-position model. The record is from RNAcentral.